Long non-coding RNA from Scylla paramamosain (green mud crab), 1183 nucleotides. RefSeq lists it as uncharacterized. Lineage: Eukaryota; Metazoa; Arthropoda; Malacostraca; Decapoda; Portunidae. The record is from RefSeq and is a predicted model, not a curated record. The transcript is spliced from 2 exons.
GCUCUGUGGCUCGGCUGCAGUUCCAUCCCUUCAGUUGGCUCCCUGGCCUGGUUGGGAGCACACGGACGGACGCUUCUGCUCCGCUGCCAGACACUCGACUCCUUUGCCUGCCGUCACUCGUAGUCGCAUCUCACUGGCUCUUACACACGCACGCACUAACGCGCUCCAAGCAGCCCCUGAACACUCUGGAGGUGUAGGUGGUGUACAUAGGUGUCCUGUGGAGUCGUACGCGGACCGCCCUCGCGUAGUGGACAUCCGAAUGAACACGAAAUAAACUUGUCAGAGGGAAGAUAUGUCAGUGCUGUAUCAGUGAAUCUUCGCCGCCCUCCCGACACGCCACACGCAGCAACAUGUGGCCCUGGCCGGUAAUGGCGCCCCACGCAGAGCCCCGCGGGAGGCACACACGACCCUCCCGCCGAUCAGCUGAGGAAGGAGGCCACGAGAUAAGUUGCAGGAGACGGGCUGUGGGGGGCCUGGAGGGAUGCCUGCUGCUGUGGGCCUUCGCCGCCAGCCUCUCCCUCGGGUGAGUGUAAAAUUGAUGUACUACCUUGUCUCUUGUCCCUGGACGAGUGUACUUGUGUCUCCUAACCAGCGUGAACCUGAACGUCACCAUCUUCCCUCCCUAAGUCCCACAAGUGGUGCUGCUAUUUCGCCUCACACUGUGGCACUGCAGGGGAUGCAAGACAUACCAUGGCACUCACCCCUCGCCUCUCCUGGUCGCCUCACCCAGCCCUCCCCGCCAGGACGAGGCUCACCUUAUCCAAUCAUGCAUGAGGCAAUUAGGCUGCCACGGUUUGCUUGGUUAGAAAGGAUUUACGAGGUUGGCUGAGGAGGCUGCGGUGGAGGGGAGAGGCGUGGGGGGUGGGAGGGGAUGGCGUUGGCGUGGUGAUGUACUGGCGUGGGAGAAAAUGUCUUGCAUGUUUCAUAGGUCCAUUCAUCGCGGAGUCCGACUCUCUAGUAUUACUUCAGCGAUUCGAGAUAUGAAGGUUGCAGUGGCGGUACUGUGGAGAAAACGCAUAGAGGGAAGAGCAAUCUGGCCAUGUUUCAAAACAAUUGGCAGUGAGGAGGAGGAGGAGGAGGACUUAAUCUUGUGGAUAUCCGAGAAACACAGACCAAUGCACCAUUUUCCUCGCAUUUACCACACAAUUUCCACUGCUCGAAAACUUAUUACAAUUUCUUACAA